GGGGGUGAUUGGAUUUGACAGCUAAGGGAAUGAGCAGGUGCAUGCGGGGUUCGCUGUCCUCCUCUCAAAAGGGCAGCCGCACAAGAAGUGCCGAAACUUCUUACGCGCUCGCUGCCUGAUUAAGUAGGCAGCAGGCGGAGGGGAGGCCCCGCCCGAGGCCGAGCCUCUCGCCUGGGUUGUAUCGGGCUUGAGGCUGAGGAGGCCCGACUCAGCCUGACGUAGUAGGGUCUGAGGAAGCCCUGUCCUGGGCCGUUGCAGGCGGGCUUCCGAGAGGCUUCAACGGCUAAGCAUGUAGGGCCUGCUCAGGGACCUUAGACUGGACGCGGGUUCGACUCCCGCCACCUCCACGG
This 350-nucleotide transfer-messenger RNA is filed under the name Bacteroidia. RNAcentral describes it as "SpSt-205 sp025060275 X1 Standard tmRNA". It matches the Rfam family "transfer-messenger RNA". From Rfam's summary of the family: Bacterial tmRNA, also known as 10Sa RNA or SsrA, is named for its dual tRNA and mRNA-like properties. Its role is to liberate the mRNA from a stalled ribosome. RNAcentral also lists the same sequence under 1 other name. Lineage: Bacteria; Pseudomonadati; Bacteroidota. The record is from RNAcentral.